AAUUAUUUAUUUGAUGGUUUCUUACUACAUGGAUAACCGUAGUAAUUCUAGAGCUAAUACAUGCGUAAAGUCCCGACUCUUGCGGGGAGGGAUGUAUUUAUUAGAUUAAAAACCAAUGCGGCCUUUGGUCGGACUUGUGUUGAUUCAUAGUAACUUUUCGGAUCGCAGGGCUUCACGCCGGCGACAGUUCAUUCAAAUUUCUGCCCCAUCAGCUUUCGACGGUAGUGUAGUGGACUACCGUGGCAUUUACGGGUGACGGAGAAUUAGGGUUCGAUUCCGGAGAGGGAGCCUGAGAAACGGCUACCACA
Molecule: ribosomal RNA, 308 nt
Filed under: uncultured eukaryote
Lineage: Eukaryota
Description: SSU rRNA
Rfam family: Eukaryotic small subunit ribosomal RNA
Source: RNAcentral